UUCAUUUUGCACGAGCCCCAACGAGUGCAAUUGAUGCGCCUUGGAGUCGAGCACCUAGAAAACCUAGAACCCCUGCUGUAUAAAUUCCACCAUCAAAUAGAAAUAAUAUCAAAUAGUUUUUUGACACAUAGUUUGAGUAAAGUCGUGUAGUAAUAGGAGCAGCAAUUGGUGAUGAGGCAUCGUUGAAAUGCGUAGCCAGACCGUCCGUCAUGUAUCUCCCGUCCUUGUACUUGAUCACAAUAUGUCCACACAUGCACGCAUAAAUCUCCAAAGCCAGCUUCGCAUUAACUCACCCACACCUACAUGGUUCUGUCCAGUUUCCUGUUUUGAAUCCUCUCAGGUGCCCUUUUGUACGGACCAGCUCGGGUUUGGCCUUUAAUCUCACCCCACAAAACGGCCUGAAUCUAUUAGUCUAACCCUUCUUAGGUUUCAGUGCUCCCCCUAU
Molecule: long non-coding RNA, 445 nt
Filed under: Phoenix dactylifera (date palm)
Lineage: Eukaryota; Viridiplantae; Streptophyta; Magnoliopsida; Arecales; Arecaceae
Description: long non-coding RNA (PDAC_LNC004356)
Source: RNAcentral